This 221-nucleotide unclassified non-coding RNA is filed under the name Ancylostoma caninum (dog hookworm). RNAcentral's name for it is "ITS2". The record is from RNAcentral. Lineage: Eukaryota; Metazoa; Nematoda; Chromadorea; Rhabditida; Ancylostomatidae.
UAUAUCUACUACAGUGUAGCUUGUGGCACUGUUUGUUGAACGGCACUUGCUUUUAGCGAUUCCCGUUCUAGAUCAGAAUAUAUUGCAACAUGUACGUUAGCUGGCUAGUUUGCUAACGUGCACUGAAUGACAGCAAACUCGUUGUUGCUGCUGAAUCGUUUACCGACUAUAAAACGUUUUGGCAGUGGCUAGUAUGACAACGGUGUUUCUGUUAUUUGCAA